AGUUUUCUAUAUACGUGCUGAGAUCUCGUCACACAUCAGAUCACAAGGGCUGAUGAGACUCCCAAGAUAAAUAAAGUG
Schistosoma mansoni is the source of this 78-nucleotide microRNA precursor. It matches the Rfam family "mir-3492 microRNA precursor family". The record is from Rfam. Lineage: Eukaryota; Metazoa; Platyhelminthes; Trematoda; Strigeidida; Schistosomatidae.